This 621-nucleotide ribosomal RNA is filed under the name uncultured archaeon. RNAcentral describes it as "bacterial SSU rRNA". It matches the Rfam family "Archaeal small subunit ribosomal RNA", at positions 148 to 774 of the family's 1478-position model. The record is from RNAcentral.
UAUACUCCAUAGAUUAGAGACACUGGAAUGUUCUUUAGUCGAAAGUUCUGGCGCCUUAGGAUGGAUCUGCGGUCGAUUAGGUUGUUGUUGGGGUAGCGGCCCAACAAGCCUGUAAUCGAUACGGGUUGUGGGAGCAAGAGCCCGGAGAUGGAAUCUGAGACACGAUUCCAGGCCCUACGGGGCGCAGCAGGCGCGAAAACUUUACAAUGCAGGAAACUGUGAUAAGGGAACUCCGAGUGCCCGUAUACGCGGGCUGUCCAGGUGUUUAAAAAUCAUCUGAAGAAAGGGCCGGGCAAGAACGGUGCCAGCCGCCGCGGUAAUACCGGCGGCUCGAGUGGUGGCCACUAUUAUUGGGCUUAAAGCGUCCGUACCUGGAACGAUAAGUCUCUUGGGAAAUCCGCCGGCUCAACCGGCGGGCGUCUAAGGGAUACUGUUAGUCUAGGGACCGGGAAAGGUGAGAGGUACUCCGGGGGUAGGAGUGAACUCCUGUAAUCCCCGGGGGACCACCGAUGGCGAAAGCAUCUCACCAGAACGGAUCCGAAAAUGAAGGACGAAAUCUGGGGGAGCGAAACCGGAUUCAAUACCGGGUAAUACCAACCGUAAAGUAUGCGCGUUCAGUGU